ACACACAGUUUCAACCAUCUUGAAGCAGGUUUCAGAUUCACUAACGACAGCCUUUCCUUCAGGGGUGCCACUAGUUUUAAGUGUACGACUUGUCUCAGUUGGAAAAAGAUGGAAAAUAAACUACUGACACUGUUGACUACUUGUAAACUUUAAAAGAAAUAAUUUAUGGUCAAGUUGUACAAGUUGUUGGAGGGGGAGGGGCACAGGAAGGUUCCCCUACCUUCUUUCUUCAUGCCAGCCCUGAAACAUUUGUUGAGCCUGCAGAAACGACACUGGUUCCUCUUAUCUUUAUCCACGAUGCACUGUCUGCUGAACCUGCACACGAUGAACAUACAGUGAUAUAAUUAACUGUACAGAACUGAUACAGUGAACUGCCACAUAACAUGACUGAAAAAUCAGUGAUCCAUAGUUCAGUUUGCUUAGUGUGUUAGCUGUAACUUCAGUAUGUUUUUGCUGUCUGUACCUGCAGGUGUAGACGUGGCUCUUGCGUAUGGAGCGUCUGAAGAAGCCUUUGCAGCCGUCACAGCUGGAGGCUCCAUAGUGCUUCCCUGUGGCUUUGUCUCCACAGAUGGCACAGUUACUGUUGACCCCAUCUGGACCGGGCAGGUUCGGCUCUGUUGGCAUGCUGUCUGAAACACGCAAAAACAUUCACAAAGGGAGGUAGAGGAAGAACCCCUGUAAUCACCCUGAUCGUAAAGCAAGGAGACAUCAUUUUCUUAAGGAAAAGCCUUACCAGAGCCAUCAAGUCGGAGAUGACCAGGACAAUGAGGAACAAGCUGGAAAAGAAAGAGAAGAAGCAAAAGAACUGAGUGCUGAGCAGGAGGUAUGUGGCCGUCAGAGAGAGGAAUAUGCUGAGAAGUCGGUGGAAGAGACGUGUAGAGCUCAGCAAUGGGACCACCAUUGAGGAUGCUGAGAAGCGAGACAGGAGAAGUGAGCUGGUUCUUAGAACUACAGGGAGCCCCGAUCUGUGGUGUGGUUACCUUGGCUUUUCCAAAAAGUCCGGAAAGAAAGGGCCAGAGAGAGAGGACAGCCAGGCCCACAGUCAGCAUGGCGCGAUGGAAGAAACUCACCACCUGGGGGCAGCAAAGGAAAAACGGUCAGCCCUGGUGCGUACACUUUGAACAAUCUGUAUUUGGUACUGUCUGUUGAGAUCAGCUAAAUUAAGCUGUAUCAGCAGGCUGAAGAAGAAAUUUGUCUUUAAAUGUACAUUAGGGAACAUUAAAGACACCCACCAGUAGCUCGAUCCCGAAUGCCACAAGCACAAAAUAGCCAAAACAUUUCCACAGUGGCAGAGAGGGAGCUGAACGAAUCAAAUCUGUUAGAGUCCCAGACCUAAAAUUAAUCAUUAGAGAGCUUAUUUUCCAGGGGAUAAAGAAGAAAAAAACAAGAAAGAAAACUGCAAAGCUAGUUUUUUUUUAAUCAAUUUACAAAGGUGAAACAUGAACACCACUUCAGAGGAUCUAAUUAACAGCUCACUGCAGCUGUUGCAGACAUAAAUGAACAAGUAUGUGUGAGGUAAAUUACAUCCAAUUAAAAACUGUGACAUUAAUUGAUUGUUGAUAUCUCCAGUAAUGUGUUUUGAUAUUUGCUGACAUCCUGUGCCUGUGUGUGGUGUUUGCUCCAUCACUCUCUGAGAACAGCACACAGGAAUUAUAUACGUUUGGUUCAUGACACUGUAAUUUAUGUGCGCAAAUGUGUUUCAUGUUUUCAGCCAUUCUGUAUUUUCUAAAAGAGUGUUACUCACUCUUUAAGGACAGAGUACCACACAGGGACAGGCAGCAGGCAGUAAAUAUAGUAGGUCACGGGGCUCCUUUGGAUAAGCAGGAAGACAGUGAUUACCAGUGUCACACACACACACAGCCUCGCCAGAGUGUGACUGGGAACCUGCACACACACAAAGGAGAAAUACUAAACAUGUAGCUUAACAAGACAUUCAAGUUUUGUAAACUCGUUUUAGUGGAAACAAUCUAGAGGCAAAUAAACCUGCACACACACAAGGAGAAAUACUAAACAUGUAGCUUAACAAGACAUUCAAGUUUUGUAAACUCGUUUUAGUGGAAACAAUCUAGAGGCAAACCAGGAUUGCAGUGAAUGCCCUGACCUGUUUGAGGAGACUUGGGUGUCUGUUGAGGCUGGCAUGAGUCUUCAGUAUGACUAGGACAACAUAGGAGGUCCAGCCUACAAAUCCCAGCACCACACUGCAGCCCAGGAAGAACCUGUCGUAGGUGUGGUAGUAGAUCAGGCCCUCCAGAGCAUCGGAUAUCAGAGACUGGCACAGAGAGAUCUGACAAGAGACAGAGGAGGGGGGUGAAAAUCAGUACUUUAGCAAAACUAAGUGUAUCAAAAUGGAAACGACACUUGGAUGGGAAGUAAUAAUUCAAACUCAAACAAGGCGGACAGUUUUUCUGUUGAGGAGUGGCUUCAUUUCUACUGCAACAUCUCUUGCACAACACUGGUGUCUACAUAGCUCACUGUGUAUGAACAGCAGCUCAGUGUAGUAGAAUAAAUCUAAAAUCUGACUUUAA
Molecule: long non-coding RNA, 2525 nt
Organism: Scatophagus argus
Lineage: Eukaryota; Metazoa; Chordata; Actinopteri; Scatophagidae
Exons: 5
Source: RefSeq, a predicted model, not a curated record